AUGGCUUCCAUGACUCAGCCCAUGCCGUAUUACCCCACCACCAACCCCAUCAUGCACGCGCAGCCGGCCACCACGUCCAGGGGCUCCUUCGCGCCGGUCUUCACCGUGCUGGGCGUCAUCUCCUUCCUCGCUGUCGUCGCCUGCGUCGCGGGGCGGCUGUGCGGCCGCCGGCUCUCCAAGAAGAAGGCCUACGCCGACCAGCACUACUACGGCACUAACACGGUGGGCGGCGACCUGGAGAAGGGCUUCGAGGUCAAGUACCCGCCGAUGAAGCCCAUGCCGAGCUCGCGCGCCGUGGUCCACGACAUGGACGACGGCUUCGAGAUCAAGUUCGCGCCGGGGAAGCCCGCCGCGUGGAAGACCGACGCCAAGGCCGACAACAGAGGGCGCCCGCAGCAGCAGCAGCACCACCACCAGCAUCCCCAGGCCGGCAUGCCGAAGGAGUACGCCGGUUUCAGGUACCCCGCGGCUGCCAACGGCGCGGUCAGGCAAGGGCAAGUAAGGGGCGGAACGUUCGUCUCCGCAAAGCCCGGUUCAUGA
This 540-nucleotide ribosomal RNA is filed under the name Triticum aestivum (bread wheat). Its description in RNAcentral is "partial small subunit ribosomal RNA". The record is from RNAcentral. Lineage: Eukaryota; Viridiplantae; Streptophyta; Magnoliopsida; Poales; Poaceae.